ACGGGUGAGUAACACGUAUCCAACCUGCCGUCUACUCUUGGCCAGCCUUCUGAAAGGAAGAUUAAUCCAGGAUGGCAUCAUGAGUUCACAUGUCCGCAUGAUUAAAGGUAUUUUCCGGUAGACGAUGGGGAUGCGUUCCAUUAGAUAGUAGGCGGGGUAACGGCCCACCAAAGCGACGAUGGAUAGGGGUUCUGAGAGGAAGGUCCCCCACAUUGGAACUGAGACACGGUCCAA
Molecule: ribosomal RNA, 234 nt
Filed under: uncultured bacterium
Lineage: Bacteria
Description: partial 16S ribosomal RNA
Rfam family: Bacterial small subunit ribosomal RNA
Source: RNAcentral